GUCAAGAUGGGCGGUCAACGACUUGCCGGAUGGAUCAAAGCUGACCGAUCGGACUCUGUAACCAUAUCCCACUGGGUCUUCUUCAUUCUUUGCGUUUGAGAAACAGAGAACGGAGAAACUGCAGCAGAAGAGAAAUGCUAAAAGAAGGUGAUGAAGGUGAAGUGGAGGUUGUGGCCUCUUCUUCCCCAUUAUUCUGUAAAUUGGAAACCAAGACUCCUCUCUUUUAUCUUUACAUCAAAACCAAGGACCUUUCGCUUCCACACAAAGUGUUUUUACACCAAGAAAAAUUAUUAGUAUAUGUGUCUUGCCGUGCACUAGCUCAACAAAAAGUCAACCUCAACCCAUUUGUACCUUAUCCAAAUACCAAUGACGCUCUUAUGCAUACUAUAAUCAUGUUUACGGUAAGAAAAGAAAAGGGUUAUGCUAGGCUACCGAAACAUACUUUCUGGUACCAUACCCCCAAUUUUGCACCAAUAACAUCUUGCCACAUGUGGGUUGUUGAAUAAAAAAUAAAAAAACUUGCUAUACAAGUUACAAACCGGUCAACUCCUGUCCCAAUAAAAAAUAAUUCAAAGACAACACAAAAAUUUAAACUCUUUACGACAUCCAACUAUAAAAUCUGAGUAUUUAUUUUAUAAAAAUUUAAAAAUAUUAAAUAAUUUGUGAAAAUAUAAAUUUUUUAAAAGAAAAGAAAUUAUAAUUUAUUUUAUUUUUUAAUAUAAAGUGAUAAAUCAUAGAGUGAAGAAAAAUAAAUAAACUAAAUAUUGUAAAAAAAAUCAUUCAAUGACAUAAUUUAUAAAUUGAGAGUCAAUGAAUUUAUUUUAUUUUAAAUUGAAAUUAUUUGUGGAAAAAAAUUGGAUGAAUAUUGAAAAUGCAAAAAAAAAAAAAUAUAAUUGGUCAAUGAAGUUAAAAAAAUAAAUAAUUUCAAUGAAUUAUAAGUCUAAUUAGAUAUUUAUAAAAAAUAAAAAAUUGAAAUAAAUUUAAAUAAGUAUAUAUUGUUCAAACACUAAAUUAGUUAUGUACUUGACAAUUGCAUUAAUAAAAUAAUUAUUUUAAUUUAAAUUUAAUUGUGUAAAAUAUUGGUUGAAAUAUUGAAAAUACAAAAAAAAAUAAUAAUUAGUAACAAUAUAGAACUUCACAUCUCUCACUAAUUUUUUAGUCAUUUAGAAGAGAAUUGAGAAUCUUCUCAUUCUUCUUACCCUUUCUAAUUAUUAAAUAUUUUUAAAGUUUUAUUUUUCUGGGCAUCAUUUGAACACCUCUUAAGUAUAAUGAACACAUUUAAACAAAAUCAAAAUCAUAUGAAGUCUCAAAAAUUUUUUAAAGCAACAAAGAAGUGGAGAAUGGAGAGGGUACGAAGAAUGUGAAGAUUCCUCACAUUCUUCGUACCCUUCCUAAUUUUUAAAUAUUUUUGAAGUAUGAUUUUUUCGGGCAUCAUUUGAACACCCUUAAGUGUAAUUGACUCAUUUAAACAAUAUCCAAGCCAUAUGAAGUCCCAAAAUUAUUUUAAAAUUUCAAAAAAAUGGAGAAUGUGGAGGGUACGAAAAAUGUGAGGCCUUACUAAUUUUUAAGUAUUUUUAAAGUAUGAUUUUUCUGAGCAUCAUUUGAACACAUCUUAAGUAUAAUGAACUCAUUUAAACAAUAGUCAAGCCAUAUGAAAUCCCAAAAAAUUUUUAAAGCAUCAAAGAAGUGGAGAAUGAUGAGGGUAUAAAGAAUGUGAGGAUUCCUCACUUUUUUCGCACCCUUCCUAAUUUUUAAAUAUUUUUUAAUUAUGAUUUUUCCGGCCAUCAUUUAUACACCCCUUAAAUGUAAUGGACUCAUUUAAACAAUAUCCAAGUCAUAUAAAGUCUCAAAAUUAUUUUAAAAUUUGAAAGAAAUGGAGAAUAGGGAAGGUACAAAGGAUGUGAGGAUUCCUCACAUUUUUUGUACCUUUUCUAAUUUUUAAGUGUGAUUUUUCCAGGCAUCAUUUGAACACCCUUAAGUGUAAUGAACUCAUUUAAACAAUAUCAAAGUCAUAUGAAGUCCCAAAAUUUUUUUAAAGUAUCAAAGAAGUGGAGAAUGAGGAUGGUACGAAGAAUGUGAGGAUUCCUCACAUUUUUCGUACCCUUUCCAAUUUUUAAGUAUUUUUGAAGUAUGAUUUUUUCGAGCAUCAUUUGAACACCCCUUAAGUGUAAUGGACUCAUUUAAACAAUAUCCAAGUCAUAUGAAGUCCCAAAAUUAUUUUAAAAUUUCAAAGAAAUGGAGAAUGUGAGGGUAUGAAGAAUAUGAGGAUUCCUCAUAUUUUUUGUACCCUUCCUAAUUUUUAAGUAUUUUUGAAGUAUGAUUUUUUCGGACAUCAUUUGAACACCCUUUUAGUGUAAUGAAUUCAUUUAAACAAUAUCCAAGUUAUAUGAAGUCCCAAAAUUUUUUAAGUAUUUUUGAAGUAUGAUUUUUCCACACAUCAUUUGAACACCCUUUAAGUGUAAUGGACUCAUUUAAACAAUAUCCAAGUCAUAUGAAGUCCAAAAUUAUUUUAAAAUUUCAAAGAAAUGGAAAAUGGGGAGGGUACGAAGAAUACCAGGAUUCCUCACAUUUUUCGUACCCUUUCUAAUUUUGAAGUAUGAUUUUUCCACGCAUCAUUUGAACACCCCUUAAAUGUAAUGGACUCAUCUAAACAAUAUCUAAGUCAUACGAAGUCCUGAAAUUAUUUUAAAAUUUAAAAGAAAUGGAGAAUGGGAAAGGUACGAAGAAUGUGAGGAUUCCUCACAUUUUUCGUACCCUUUCUAAUUUUGAAGUAUUUUUUAAGUAUGAUUUUUCCGAGCAUCAUUUGAACAUCACUUAAGUGCAAUGGACUCAUUUAAACAAUAUCCAAGUCAUACGAAGUCCUGAAAUUAUUUUAAAAUUUAAAAGAAAUGGAGAAUGGGGAGGGUACGAAAAAUGUGAGGAUUACCCUUCCUAAUUUUUAAGUAUUUUUGAAGUAUGAUUUUUUCAGGCAUCAUUUGAACACCUCUUUAGUGUAAUGAACUCAUUUAAACAAUAUCCAAGUUAUAUGAAGUCCCAAAAAAAUUUUAAAGCAUGAAAGAAGUGGAGAACGAGGAGGGUAUGAUGAAUAUGAGGAUUCCUCACAUUUUUAGUACUCUUCCUAAUUUUGAAGUAUGAUUUUUCCGCGCAUCAUUUGAACACCCCUUAAGUGUAAUGGACUCAUUUAAACAAUAUCCAUGUCAUAUGAAGUCCCAAAAUUAUUUUACAAUUUCAAAGAAAUGGAAAAUGGGGAGGGUACAAAGAAUAUGAGGAUUCCUCACAUUUUUCGUACCCUUUCUAAUUUUGAAGUAUGAUUUUUCCGCACAUCAUUUGAACACCCCUUAAAUGUAAUGGACUUAUUUAAACAAUAUCCAAGUCAUACAAAGUCCUGAAAUUAUUUUAAAAUUUAAAAGAAAUGGAGAAUGGGAAAGGUACGAAGAAUGUGAGGAUUCCUCACAUUUUUCGUACUCUUUCUAAUUUUGAAGUAUUUUUUAAGUAUGAUUUUUUCGAGCAUCAUUUGAACACCCCUUAAGUGAAAUGGACUUAUUUAAACAAUAUCCAAGUCAUACGAAGUCCUGAAAUUAUUUUAAAAUUUAAAAGAAAUGGAGAAUGGGGAGGGUACAAAGAAUGUGAGGAUUCCUCACAUUUUUCGUACCCUUUCUAAUUUUUAAGUAUUUUUUAAGUAUGAUUUUUUCGGGCAUCAUUUGAACACCCCUUAAGUGUAAUGAACUCAUUUAAACAAUAUCAAAGUCAUAUGAAGUCCCAAAAAAAAUUUUAAAGCAACAAAGAAGUGAAGAAUGGGAAGGGUACGAAGAAUGUGAGGAUUCCUCACAUUCUUUGUACAUUUUCUAAUUUUUAAGUAUUUUUUAAGUUUGAUUUUUCCUGGCAUCAUUUGAACACCCCUUAAGUUUAAUGAACUCAUUUAAACAAUAUACAAACCAUAUGAAGUCCCAAAAUUAUUUUAAAAUUUCAAAGAAAUGGAGAAUGGGGAGGAGGGUAUGAAGAAUGUGAGGAUUCCUCACAUUUUUCGUACCCUUCCUAAUUUUUAAGCAUUUUUGAAGUAUGAUUUUUUCGAGCAUCAUUUGAACACUCCUCAAGUGUAAUGAACUCAUUUAAACAAUAUCCAAGUCAUAUAAAGUCCCAAAAAAAUUUUAAAGCAUCAAAGAAGUGGAGAAUGAGGAGGGUACGAAGAAUGUGAGAAUUCCUCACAUUUUUCGUACCCUUCCUAAUUUUUAAAUAUUUUUGAAGUAUGAUUUUUCCGGGCAUCAUUUGAACACCCUUAAAUGUAAUGGACUCAUUUAAACAAUAUUCAAGUCAUAUGAAGUCCCAAAAUUAUUUUAAAAUUUCAAAGAAUGUGAGGAUUCCUCACAUUUUUCGUAUUCUUCCUAAUUUUUAAGUAUUUUUGAAGUAUGAUUUUUUCCACUAAUUCGGACAUCAUUUGAACAACCCUUUAGUGUAAUGAACUUAUUUAAACAAUAUCCAAGCUAUAUGAAGUCCCAAAAAUUUUUUAAGCAUCAAAAAAGUGGAAAACGAGGAGGGUGUGAUGAAUGUGAGGAUUCCUCACAUUUUUCGUACCCUUCCUAAUUUUUAAGUAUUUUUUAAGUAUGAUUUUUUCAGACAUCAUUUGAACACCCCUUAAAUGUAAUAAAUUUAUUUAAACAAUAUUCAAACCAUAAGAAGUCCUAAAUUUUUUUUAAAGCAUCAAGGAAGUGGAGAUAGGGAGGGAAUGAGGGUAUGAAGAAUGUGAGGAUUCCUCGCAUUCUUCGUACAUUUUCUAAUUUUUAAGUAUUUUUUAAGUUUGAUUUUUCUAGGCAUCAUCCAAACACCCCUUAAGUGUAAUGAACCCAUUUAAACAAUAUUGAAGUCAUAUGAAGUCCCAAAAAAUGUGAGGAUGCCUCACAUUUUUCGUACCCUUCCUAAUUUUUAAGUAUUUUUGAAGUAUGAUUUUUUCGGACAUCAUUUGAACACCUCUUAAGUGUAAUGGACUCAUUUAAACAAUAUCCAAGCCAUACGAAGUCCCAAAAUUAUUUUAAAAUUAAAUAGAAAUAGAGAAUGGGGAUGGUACGAAGAAUGUGAGGAUUCCUCACAUUCUUCGUACCCUUUCUAAUUUUGAAGUAUUUUUGAAGUUAACAAAAGAAACUAAUUUUUCAUAUAUUAAAACAAUUAUAUAUAACAAAAUACCCCCUUCCCAUGGGUCAGAUUUACCUAAGUUUCAAGUGCACAUACAUAAUUUAGUUCUUAUCUUCUUUCAUAUACAACAUCAAAACCCUCUAAAAUAGUAGGACAAAAUAACAAACUUCUUAAAUUUCAAACCAAAAGAGAGAGCUUCAAGCUCUAGGAAGCCUACCCUCACUUUCUUCAAUUUGAGCACCUUUAUUAGAAUCUGAAAAUUGUUUAUAAAAAGUGAUGAGCUUUAUAGCCCAAUAGAGGAUAUGUAAUUCUAUGUAAGAAUUAGGCUUAUUUUUUAGUUAGAAAAUCAGUGAAUAGAAAUACCAACUCAACAAUGAUAUAUUCAACAUAAUAAAGUAUCAUUUAAACCAAGAACUUAAAUUAAUUGUUCAAUUUCAUCAACCUUACCGUGUACUUCUUUGAUCAUUUGAGUCUUUUUUAUUACUUAAAACUUAUAAUUUUGGGGCAUUCACCUAAGGACAUGCAUUUAUGCCCCAAUUUAAUCUAAACCAAGUUCUUCUUAUAGUAUGUUUUGGGUCUUUCAAUUUAGGUAAUUUACCAUUCGUUCCAAGGCUUUUACCAGGGACCAUUGCUCCUACUUAAUUCCAUAAGACCACACUCAUUGGUGUAUUUUCAUAAUUUUCAGCUCCUUAAGUGCCAAUUGCCAUGUUGCUCUUGAUGCACUUCAAAAUUCAUAUAUUCAAUCAAAGAAAGCAUUACAUCUUUAAUCAUCCUUAUCAAGCCAAGAGCAACAACUUCUAAUUAACACAAAAUGCAUUGUUCAUCAUUUCUCGAUUCAUAUAAUCUUCAUAGCUCAACAUACAGAUACAUACAUACAUAUAUAUAUAUAUAUAUAUAUAUAUAUAUAUAUAUAUUUGGAAAGAUUUAGAAUGAAAGAAAAAAACUGUUGUUCAAGAAAAGAAUAAAACAAAGAUUACUUGGAUUUUCUAGCCUAUUCCCUUUAGAGCCUUGGUAGAUCUCUCAAAGGCUAGGGACCCUUCAAUCGGUAUUCAUAGUACUGAAACCAUUCUCUUUCAUCAAGUGAAUGAAUACAAAAAGAUUUGUAGCUCUUGUAAUCCCUCUAUUAAUACUUUUAGGCGGUGUUUGGUACACGGGAAUAGGAAAUGGAAAUGAAUAUUUUGUUUCCAUUCCUAUUUUUUGAUGAAUGGAAAUGAAUUUGUUCAUUCCAUUUCUAGUGUUUGGAUGAAUCUAUAAAUUCAAAAUUUGAAUGAUUAUUUGUUUCCAUUAUAAUGUUUUGUAAUAAUAGGAACGAAAAUGAAAAAAAAAAAAUGAUAAUAAUACUUUUACAUAGUUUAAAAUAAUUUUUUUCUCAUUUAAAAAAAAAAUUGAGAGUUUUUUUUCACUAAAUAAUAAGAUUAAAAAAAAUAGUCUUAUUAUGGGAUGAAGAGACACUGAAAGUUGAUAAAUGAAAUCCAAAGGUAAAAUAGUAAUUUAAGACUAUUUUAUAUUUUCUUAUUGGAUGAAUGAAUCAGAAUAUCACUUAUCUGAGAUGAAUUGAAAUCCUACUUAUAAGUGAGAUUGAUUUAUGCCGGAAUCAUGUUUUAUUUUAUUCCUACCUUCAUAAAAUCUAUCCAAACAUGAGAAUGGGGAGGCAAGGAAUGAGAUGUCUAUUCUCACUUCUCAUUCACACUUAUCAAACACCCCUUUAGUUCAAUGAGCAGUUACUAUUAAUACUUUUAGCUCUUGUAGCUCUUCUUGUUUUACUCUCUUUCAUUCAUUGUGUAUAUAUGCACUCAAAUAUAUAAGAAGGUUCUAUCUCCCUGCAUAACUUUCAGAUAUAAGUUCAGGUGUUGCUGUUUUUAAAAACUUACAAGGAAUAUAGCAAACAAUGAACAACUUAUGAAGGGAAUUUCAGAUCUAUUGUUGUAAUCUCAAAAUCGUUAUUUAUUGAUAUCAUUUUGCAGACAAUAGCUUACUGAUAAUAAUUGUUCUUAGCAGAACUCUUUCCUUAUUAAGUGAGGUUUAGCUUUAAUUCAAACUCCUUUCCGAUUGGGAGACAGUUUUUUAAUCUCCAUGACAACAAAUUUUCUGUUGCCAUCCAAAUCUACUUUCAACGAAGAGUCUCCAAUUGUUUUUGUUCCCUCAUUUGUGUAUACCUCGAAUCCUUUAAACCUCUUGCCCUGGGCCUUGGUCAACCCGAUCAAAGUCACCCUAUCUAUGAUCCAUUUCUGACUUAGAGCAAAGCCUCUAUUCAUCACCUCUGAUCCAACAAUCGCCUUCUUAUCUUCCACCCAGGCAUAGAACUUCACCAGGCUCCAGUUUUUUCCUCCCCCGCCCAUCUCAACUUCUUCGCCAUCAUCCAAGAAAACUUCACCAGUGCUGAUUCCACUGCUGCUCAAAACCACCAAGAGCUGGAAUGGAGUCUUCCGAGCCGCUUUUGUAGUCAUGGCUUCUCCCUGCAUUACCAAUAUAUUCCCUUCUCUAACAUGAACAUUUAUAUGAUCUGGUGGUGCAUCGAGAGUGGUAUACUUCCCUGAACCUGCACUCACUGCAUUGGAGUAAUUGAAGAGGUCGAACCAGUUUCCUGAUGGGAAGUAUGCUUUGACUGAAACUUCUCCAGGCUUCAGCACUGGUGACACCAUUACACCUUUACCGAUCAAAAACUGAAAGUUGAUUCCAUAAGUUUCGGGGUCCUGAGGGAAUGAAAAGAAAAGGGGUCGGGCAAUGGGGACUCCUUUUGUGUGGGCUUCGUACAUUAACGUGUAAAAGUAGGGAAGCAGGCGGUAGCGGAGCCCCAGCACCUUCUUGGCUGUUGCAGCAACUGAGUCCCACACGUAAAGCUCCUGGCGAAUUGUGAACUUUGCUGAGUGGUCCCUUGCAAAGGGGUAGAACGCCCCUAACUGCAAUGUCACAAAAUCCAAUUAUUAGUUGCAUACACGAAAGAAAAGAUGGAAUGCACGCCAAGCCAGAGGAAUUUGAGCACUCCUAGAAAAUGGAAUUGUUCAAGCUUGUUUUCCACAAAUUCAACCUUGGGAUAGAUGCUAUGUCCAAAAUGUUGAAUGAUUUAUCUACCAUUUGAUGAAUGAAAGCUACCUAAAGUUUACCUGGAUCCAUCGCCUGCAGAGCUCUUCAUUUGUGUCGCCGGAAAAACCACAUAUGUCCGCUCCAACCAUUGGAAUUCCGAAUAGCCCAAAAUUUAAAACUGCUGGGAUGGAGUAAGCCAAAUCAUCCCAUGUGGCAGCAUUGUCUCCAGUCCAAUGGGCAGCAUACUUUCCAGAGCCCACAAAAGUUGAUCUGGUCAGUAUAAAUGGUCUUUUACCCGUCAAUUUGGUUAAGGCCGCAUUGGUGGCUUUGGAUUCUAAGAUUCCAUAAAGGUUGUGAGCGUUGUACUCUGUAAUGUUACCAAAGUGUAGAGAUGUGGCUGGAACAGUUCUAUUAUUAAUGGGCCUACGAACACCUGCAUUGUUAAUCUUGUAGGGAGGGUCGUCAAGGGUGGACAAUGGGGUGGGUGGUGAGGUAAUGAAAUUAGAUAUCUCAUUCAUGUCAAGCCAAAGGCCGUCAAUGGGAAGACUAUCUCGAAAUAUUUUGAUCUCACCACCCCAAAAGAUCUCAGUGGCUGGAUUAACAAAAUCAGGGAAGUAGACUGGCCCCGGCCAAACACUACCCAGGUAGGGGAUACCAUCACGUUUUAUGAAGAUAUCAGCUUCCAUCCCUCUUUUGUAGGUUCGAUAUGUCUGGUUGACGCUGAUACCUGUGGAUCAUUAGGAGCUAGCUAAGUUUUCUCUUCUAAUAAAUCAAGAUAAAGUUUCAGCCCAGAGCCAAAGAUUUACCAGGAUCCAAAAUGAGCACAUAUUUCUGACCAUUUUGGUGAAGUGUAUCAACCAAUUUCUUGAUCUUAUCCAAAGGAAAGUUGAUGGGAUCAAGAGUAAAAUCCUUAUAUGCAUCCAUAUAAUCGAUAUCUGUCCACAUAACUUCGAGAGGGAUACCAGCUUUGGCAUAACCAGCAACCACGCCCUCAACAUCAGAAACGUUCGUGUACCCAUAUCUGCACUGGUGAAAUCCUGCAGCCAAGACAAGCAACUAAUUUUGCGAGCCUAAAACGAAUGUCUAUAUCUUGGUAGCAACAAUGGAGUUCAAUUAAUGGUCCAUCUUUAAAGCAUUUUCCCGUACAGUUGUAGUACAUGGCAUGGUAGAGGGAUACUUCAGCGGUAGUGGGAAUGCCAUGCGUAUUUGCUGCCAUUGAUUUCACGUGGACUAAAGUAUCCUGAGAAUAAUGAAUAAUGACGUGGUGAUGUGUAAGCUGGCUGAAUACGGCCAUCGUGAUUGGUGCCAAGUGGUGGAGGAGGAUAUGAUGUCAGGGAUGAUGUGAGCUACAGGUGGAGGUGAACACCCAGUAGACAAAUCCAAGAUUGAUAUAAGACAAAAAGAGUCGACACAAUUGAAGCCAGCACCUAACAAUUACCCUUAAAGGACGUAAAAGUUUAGUACUUAAUGUAAUUUCUAAAGAAGUUGCUAACUUCAAAAUAGGAGAGGUAAUAAAGUAUCAAAUUGAAAUAUUUUUCCAAUGAUAUAACUUACCAAACGACCAAUAUGGCAUUGGUGCCGGGUGGCCUAUGAGCUCUGUAUACUGCUGCACCACCAUCUCCGGCGUCGGUCCGGAGAAGAAGUAAAAAUCGAGAACUCCUCCAAUUGCUUUGUAGGUUAUUCGAUCACCAGUGUACACGAUGUCCAUGCCAUUACUGUUCAGCAGCAGAACACCGUGCGUCGUCCCCAUCGGAACCUUGCCGCGGUUGUCCGUCAGCCUGACGUCCAUGUAGAAGGGGUGGGACCUGUAACGGCCCGCACCCAACCGUGUAGAUAUUGUCCGCUUUGGGCCCAAGGGGACUCUCACGGCUUUAAAACGCGUCUACUUGGUUAAGAGGAGCCUCUACAUAUAUAGCGCCAGGAACUUCCUCCCCUAUCCGAUGUGGGACAUCACAAAUACCCCCCCAUGCAGACACAACGUCCUCGUUGUGUCCCAUGGGAUUGCGGGGCCAAACAGACAAAGCCAAACAAACCCCCACACCGGGGUCGGGGAUCGGCUCUGAUACCAUUUGUAACGGCCCGCACCCAACCGUGUAGAUAUUGUCCGCUUUGGGCCCAAGGGGACCCUCACGGCUUUAAAACGCGUCUACUUGGUUAAGAGGAGCCUCUACAUAUAUAGCGCCAGGAACUUCCUCCCCUAUCCGAUGUGGGACAUCAAAAANNNNNNNNNNNNNNNNNNNNNNNNNNNNNNNNNNNNNNNNNNNNNNNNNNNNNNNNNNNNNNNNNNNNNNNNNNNNNNNNNNNNNNNNNNNNNNNNNNNNGGCCCAAAGCGGACAAUAUCUACAGGGGGGGGGGUGGGCAGUUACAAAAGGUAUCUGCGCAGAUCCCCGACCCCGGUGAGAGGGUUCGUGGUGCUUUGUGAGUUUGACCCCGUAAUCCCAUGGGACUCAACGAGGGCGUUGUGUCUGCAAGGGGGGGUGUUUGUGAUGUCCCACAUCGGAUAGGGGAGGAAGUUCCUGGCGCUAUAUAUGUAGAGGCUCCUCUUAACCAAGUAGACGCGUUUUAAAGCCGUGAGGGUCCCCUUGGGCCCAAAGCGGACAAUAUCUACACGGUUGGGUGCGGGCCGUUACAGGACCCAUACAGAUUCACAUCAAGGUUGGAGCUGUGGAUGUCGGUGUUCCAAAGCGUCAGCGUUUGGUUUUGGGCGAGCUUGAAAGUCUUCUUGGUGUGCUCUCCUAGGCCAUAAAGGGAGGAGCGGAGGAUGGGGAGGGCGGAGGAGACCUGGAGGUACUGGUCCUUGAAUACCAGGAAGGUGCCAGCCUCUGAAGCGUCGGAUGAGGCGUCAAAGAGGAUGUCGCCGGUAGAGCGACGGCUGACGAUAAAGCCGAAUGGAGUGGUUCUGCGGAGCGUGAAGACGAGGUCUGACUUGGGGUCGCAUACUAUGUUGUUUUCCGGCGAGUUGUGGUCGUCUUCCGGCGAGAUGGAGUGGUUUUGCGGGAGCACUCGGAGGUGGAGUUGGGUGUAACGGGGAAGGAUUUCUCGGGGGAUUUCCCAUCUUUGGUGCUCGGAAUCGGUGAUUCGAAUUCGGAGACGAUCAUUCGUUUCCAAGCUGCAGAAAUUCAUAAAAAUAAAUAAAUAAAUAAAAAGAAGAAGGAUGCGUCAGUAAUAAAUUAAUCUAACAUUAUAGAAUAACUUAAAAAAAAAAAAAGGCUAAAAAACCAUAUUUUAAAAUUUAUAUAUAUAAAGACUCGUUACCUGGCAACAAGAAUGAGAUUUCGAACGUCGGGGCCGAAAACGGGGGAAGGUUUGAUGAGGUCAAGAUGGGCAGUCAACGAGUUGCCGGAUGGAUCAAAGCUGACCGAUCGGACUCUGUAACCAUAUCCCACUAGGUCUUCUUCAUUCUUUGCGUUUGAGAAACUGCAGCAGAAGAGAAAUGCUAAAAGAAGGUGAUGAAAGUGAAGUGGAGGUUGUGGCCUCUUCCUCCCCAUUAUUCUGUAAAUUGGAAACCAAGACUCCCCUCUUGUAUCUAAGGACCACUUCGUUUCUACACACAGAAAUCAAGUUCGUUUUUACCACUAGGAAAAAUUAUUAGUAUACCGCGCAGGAGCUCAACUUACAGUUAACCUCAAUCCAUUCGUACCUUAUCUCUGGAUACUAUAAUCAUUUUUACGGAAAGAAAAGAAAAUGUUGUGAAUUUUUUGUUUUUUAUUGAUGUUUCGAUAGUAUAGAAAAGAUUCUUUAUCAUAAAUAAUUUUUCCGGUGUUAACCCUAACACGACCAUUACAUGUCGCAUCCAACUC
Molecule: long non-coding RNA, 11951 nt
Filed under: Vitis vinifera (wine grape)
Lineage: Eukaryota; Viridiplantae; Streptophyta; Magnoliopsida; Vitales; Vitaceae
Description: long non-coding RNA (VVIN_LNC003250)
Source: RNAcentral